AGCGCUGCAUCGCAUUAGCGCCACCCUAGUCCCCAUGCCCGUGAGAGGAAGCUCUUAGAAGGCCAGCGCUGUCGCCAGGAGAGAGAGAGAGAGAGAGGAGGAGGAGGAGGAGGAGGAAGCCACGACGGCGGAAGACGACGCAGCGCGGCGGCGACCGGCGGGUGUCAUGGCAAGGUCGGCCGUGGCCGUGAGGCGGGCGGCAUUGGCCAUCGUGUUCGGAGGGCUUCUCCUGAUGUCGUUGGUUAUGGACGACGUCAAGAAAGCGGCGAUCGGCGGGAGGAGGAUGCUGGCCAGAGGCGACGGACGAGGGCAGAGCACUCUGGAGGAUUUCCAGGCUGCUGAUGUUCCCUUCCAGGACAGCAAGAGAAGGGUGCCCAACGGUCCUGAUCCUAUCCACAACAGGGGAACCGGCAAAUCAGGACGGUCGCCGGGCCGAGCGUGACGUCGGCAGCGCGCAUGCGGAGGCGUGCAUGGAAGCGUCCGAUUCCGAAGAGGCCGGCGACAUGUUGGGAGCGGCCGCAAGCAAACAGAAGAUGCGUUGCAUGGACGAAGAGGAACAGAGACUGGGAUGUUGGGUGUAACUAGGGGGAGGUGGCCUAUCUUCUUCUAAGCACUGCUAUUUAAGACAGUUUUAAUCAUGAUGAAAACUUUAG
RNA transcript from Zea mays, 653 nucleotides. It is a transcript of the gene named protein-like pseudogene, with no coding region annotated. NCBI's taxonomy places the organism in Eukaryota, Viridiplantae, Streptophyta, Magnoliopsida, Poales, Poaceae. The transcript is spliced from 2 exons. The record is from RefSeq and is marked validated.